This 31-nucleotide non-coding RNA is filed under the name Mus musculus (house mouse). Lineage: Eukaryota; Metazoa; Chordata; Mammalia; Rodentia; Muridae. The record is from RNAcentral.
CUGGAGCCCAAAAUGGGGUCUGUCCCAGAAA